AACGGCCGCGGUAUACUGACCGGUGCAAAGGUAGCAUAAUCAUUAGUCUUUUAAUAGAGGGCUGGAAUGAAUGGUUUAACGAGGAACUAACUGUCUCAUUUUAUUUGUUUUAAAAUUUAAUUUUUUAGUUAAAAAGCUAAAAUUUUAUUGGAAGACGAGAAGACCCUAUAGAUCUUUAUAAAACUUUUUGUAGUUAUUUUUAUAUUAAUAUAUUUAUAAAAGCUUUUAUUUUGUUGGGGUGACAAAAAUAUAUGAUUAACUUUUUUAUUUAUCUACCAUUGAUAUAUGAAUAUUAGAUCCAUUUUUAGUGAUUGAUAGACUAAGUUACCUUAGGGAUAACAGCGUAAUCCUCCCCCAGAGUUCAUAUUUACGGGAGGGCUUGCGACCUCGAUGUUGGAUUAAGAUAAUAAUUAGGUGUAGCCGCUUAAUAUAUAGGUCUGUUCGAC
RNAcentral lists this ribosomal RNA (446 nucleotides) under Sympetrum corruptum. RNAcentral describes it as "partial 16S ribosomal RNA". It matches the Rfam family "Bacterial large subunit ribosomal RNA", at positions 1926 to 2585 of the family's 2925-position model. The record is from RNAcentral. Lineage: Eukaryota; Metazoa; Arthropoda; Insecta; Odonata; Libellulidae.